Sitophilus oryzae (rice weevil) is the source of this 302-nucleotide long non-coding RNA. RefSeq lists it as uncharacterized. The record is from RefSeq and is a predicted model, not a curated record. The transcript has 3 exons. Lineage: Eukaryota; Metazoa; Arthropoda; Insecta; Coleoptera; Curculionidae.
UUCAAGACAAAUUCAACGGGGUACCAUACGAUGAUUUUAACGGCAAUAUAAAACCAUGUGGAAUCAAGAAGAUUUAGCAUUUAAUUUUAAGAAAAAUCAGUGUCAACGUAGAAGUCAUAGGCAGAAUGACUUCUAACGUUCUCGUCAUUUGCCUGUUGUUAACAUGGUCGAGGGAUAUAUACGCCACAUUUGGCAAAGAACAUGUCCACAUAAAAAUACAUUUACCUGAACAAUCGCACCAUCAUAAGGAGGUGGUAGUUCAUGAUCACGGCGGUGGAGGUGGCCACGGAGGUGGUGGAGGA